Molecule: ribosomal RNA, 1182 nt
Filed under: Triticum aestivum (bread wheat)
Lineage: Eukaryota; Viridiplantae; Streptophyta; Magnoliopsida; Poales; Poaceae
Description: partial small subunit ribosomal RNA
Source: RNAcentral
AUGGCCACCACUCAAGAGGCGGAGAAGACGAGCGUCGUCGAGGCCGUGGAGGAGGCUUCCCCGGCGGCGGCUGCGGCGCCGGCGGAGGAGAAGACGAGCGUCAAGGCCGUGCAGGAGCCUUCCCCGGCGGCUGCGGCGCCGGCGGAGGAGAAGACAAGCGUUAAGGCCGAGGAGGAGCCUUCCCCGGCGGCUGCGGCAGCGGAGGGGCAGCGGCGGCCGCCUGCGGCUACGGCGGCGCGCAGGGCGGGUGCUCCGGCCAGCCCAUUCGACUUCUCCACCAUGAUGAACUUGCUCAACGACCCGAGCAUCAAGGAGAUGGCGGAGCAGAUCGCCAAGGACCCGUCCUUCAGCGAGAUGGCGGAGCAGCUGCAGAAGACGGUGGCGCCGGCGCCGGCGCGCUCGCCGCAGGAGGUGGCGGCCGCGCUGGACCCGCAGAAGUACGUGUCGACGAUGCAGCAGCUGAUGCAGAACCCGCAGUUCGUGGCCAUGGCGGAGCGGCUGGGCAGCGCGCUGAUGCAGGACCCGGCCAUGUCCUCCGUCCUGGGCGGCCUCACCAACCCCGCCCACAAGGAGCAGCUCCAGGCCCGCGUCGCCCGCAUGAAGGACGACCCCUCCCUCAAGCCCAUCCUCGACGAGAUCGAGUCCGGCGGCCCCGCCGCCAUGAUGAAGUACUGGAACGACCCGGAGGCGCUGCAGAAGUUCGGCCGCGCGAUGGGCGUGGGCCCGUCGGGCGCCGCCGCCGGAGCUGAAGCCGAGGCAGAGGAGGAGGAAGAGGUUGCUGCCGGCGAGGAAGGGGAGUACGAGGAGGAGUCUAUCAUCCACCAGACGGCGAGCGUGGGCGACGUGGAGGGGCUGAAGAAGGCGCUGGCGGAGGGCGUGGACAAGGACGAGGAGGACUCGGAGGGGCGGCGGGGGCUGCACUUCGCGUGCGGCUACGGCGAGCUCGGGUGCGCGCAGGCGCUGCUGGAGGCCGGCGCCGCCGCGGACGCCGUGGACAAGAACAAGAACACCGCGCUCCACUACGCCGCCGGCUACGGCCGCCAGGAGUGCGUCGCGCUGCUCGUCGACCACGGCGCCUCCGUGACGCUGCAGAACCUGGACGGGAAGACGGCCAUCGACGUGGCGAGGCUCAACAGCCAGGAGGAGGUGCUCAAGCUGCUGGAGAAGCACGCCUACGUCUAG